Cercocebus atys (sooty mangabey) is the source of this 105-nucleotide small nuclear RNA. The record is from Ensembl. Lineage: Eukaryota; Metazoa; Chordata; Mammalia; Primates; Cercopithecidae.
GUGCUUGCUUUGCUGACACAUCUAAAACUGGAAUGAUAAGAGAAGGUUACUAUAGUGCUUCGGCAAAGAUGACAUGCAAAUAUUUGUGAAGCCAUUCACAUUUUU